AUUGAACGCUGGCGGCAGGCCUAACACAUGCAAGUCGAGCGGAGCGGCGGACGGGUGAGUAAUGCCUAGGAAUCUGCCUGGUAGUGGGGGAUCACGUCCGGAAACGGGCGCUAAUACCGCAUACUAUCAGAUGAGCCUAGGUCGGAUUAGCUAGUUGGUGGGGUAAAGGCCUACCAAGGCGACGAUCCGUAACUGGUCUGAGAGGAUGAUCAGUCACACUGGGACGGAGACACGGUCCAGACUCCUACGGGAGGCAGCAGUGGGGAAUAUUGGGCAAUGGGCGAAAGCCUGAUCCAGCCAUGCCACGUGUGUGAAGAAGGUCUUCGGAUUGUAAAGCACUGUAGGUUGGGAGGCGUUACCAACAGAAUAAGCACCGGCUAACUCCGUGCCAGCAGCCGCGGUAAUUC
Molecule: ribosomal RNA, 407 nt
Filed under: uncultured bacterium
Lineage: Bacteria
Description: partial 16S ribosomal RNA
Rfam family: Bacterial small subunit ribosomal RNA
Source: RNAcentral